RNAcentral lists this ribosomal RNA (223 nucleotides) under uncultured bacterium. RNAcentral describes it as "partial 16S ribosomal RNA". It matches the Rfam family "Bacterial small subunit ribosomal RNA", at positions 28 to 240 of the family's 1533-position model. The record is from RNAcentral.
GAUGAACGCUGGCGGCGUGCCUAAUACAUGCAAGUCGAACGUACAGCGAAAGGUGCUUGCACCUUUCAAGUGUGUGGCGAACGGGUGAGUAACACGUGGACAACCUGCCUCAAGGCUGGGGAUAACAUUUGGAAACAGAUGCUAAUACCGAAUAAAACUCAGUGUCGCAUGACACAAAGUUAAAAGGCGCUUUGGCGUCACCUAGAGAUGGAUCCGCGGUGCA